This 974-nucleotide ribosomal RNA is filed under the name Lophiostoma rosae. RNAcentral's name for it is "SSU rRNA". It matches the Rfam family "Eukaryotic small subunit ribosomal RNA", at positions 103 to 1086 of the family's 1831-position model. The record is from RNAcentral. Lineage: Eukaryota; Fungi; Ascomycota; Dothideomycetes; Pleosporales; Lophiostomataceae.
CAAUCAGUAUCGUUUAUUUGAUAGUACCCUUACUACUUGGAUAACCGUGGUAAUCUAGAGCUAAUACAUGCUGAAAACCCCUGACUUCGGAAAGGGUGUAUUUAUUAGAUAAAAAACCAAUGCCCUUUGGGCUCUUUGGUGAUUCAUGAUAACUUAACGGAUCGCAUGGCCUUGCGCCGGCGACGGUUCAUUCAAAUUUCUGCCCUAUCAACUUUCGAUGGUAAGGUAUUGGCUUACCAUGGUUUCAACGGGUAACGGGGAAUUAGGGUUCGAUUCCGGAGAGGGAGCCUGAGAAACGGCUACCACAUCCAAGGAAGGCAGCAGGCGCGCAAAUUACCCAAUCCCGACACGGGGAGGUAGUGACAAUAAAUACUGAUACAGGGCUCUUUUGGGUCUUGUAAUCGGAAUGAGUACAAUUUAAACCUCUUAACGAGGAACAAUUGGAGGGCAAGUCUGGUGCCAGCAGCCGCGGUAAUUCCAGCUCCAAUAGCGUAUAUUAAAGUUGUUGCAGUUAAAAAGCUCGUAGUUGAAUCUUGGGCCUGGCUGGCCGGUCCGCCUCACCGCGUGUACUGGUCUGGCCGGGCCUUUCCUUCUGGAGAACCUCAUGCCCUUCAGUGGGUGUGUUGGGGAACCAGGACUUUUACUUUGAAAAAAUUAGAGUGUUCAAAGCAGGCCUUUGCUCGAAUACGUUAGCAUGGAAUAAUAGAAUAGGACGUGCGGUCCUAUUUUGUUGGUUUCUAGGACCGCCGUAAUGAUUAAUAGGGAUAGUCGGGGGCAUCAGUAUUCAAUUGUCAGAGGUGAAAUUCUUGGAUUUAUUGAAGACUAACUACUGCGAAAGCAUUUGCCAAGGAUGUUUUCAUUAAUCAGUGAACGAAAGUUAGGGGAUCGAAGACGAUCAGAUACCGUCGUAGUCUUAACCGUAAACUAUGCCGACUAGGGAUCGGGCGAUGUUUCUAUCUUGACUCGCUCGGCAC